CCUACGGGAGGCAGCAGUGAGGAAUAUUGGUCAAUGGGCGGGAGCCUGAACCAGCCAAGCCGCGUGAGGGAAGAAGGUACAGCGUAUCGUAAACCUCUUUUGUCAGGGAACAAAGGCGGGGACUAGUCCCCGGAUGAGGGUACCUGAAGAAAAAGCAUCGGGUAACUCCGUGCCAGCAGCCGCGGUAAUACGGAGGAUGCGAGCGUUAUCCGGAUUUAUUGGGUUUAAAGGGUGCGCGGGCGGCCUGUUAAGUCAGCGGUAAAAGCACGGGGCUCAACCCCGGCGAGCCGUUGAAACUGGCAGGCUGGAGUUGAGGAGAGGGAGGUGGAAUGCGCGGUGUAGCGGUGAAAGGCUUAGAGAUCGGGCAGAACCCCGAUUGCGAAGGCAGCGUACCGGCUCCACACUGACGCUGAGGCACGAAAGCGUGGGUAUCGAACAGGAUUAGAUACCCUAGUAGUC
Molecule: ribosomal RNA, 459 nt
Filed under: uncultured bacterium
Lineage: Bacteria
Description: partial 16S ribosomal RNA
Rfam family: Bacterial small subunit ribosomal RNA
Source: RNAcentral